UGGUAGGAUAGAGGCUACAUGGUGUCAACGGGUAACGGGGAAUAAGGGUUCGAUUCCGGAGAGGGAGCCUGAGAAACGGCUUACAAUCCAAGGAAGGCAGCAGGCGCGCAAAUUACCCAAUCCCGACACGGGGAGGUAGUGACAAUAAAUAACAAUAUAGGGCUCUUUUGGGUCUUAUACUUGGCAUGAGUACAAUUUAACUCUCUUAACGAGGAACAAUUGGAGGGCAAGUCUAGGUGCCAGCAGCCGGGUAAUUCCAGCUCCAAUAGCGUAUAUUACAGUUGUUGCAGUUAAAUAGCUCGUAGUUGAAUCUUGGGGCUGGUUAUGGGGUCGCGUCUUUGACGUGUAACUUGUCGGCGGGUCUUAUUACUUCGUGGGGAAACCGUAUGUAGCCCUUAUGCAGGGGUGUGUACGGGAACCAUGGUGUAACUUUGAAAAAAUUAGAGUGUAUAAAAGCGGGCGUAAA
Molecule: ribosomal RNA, 466 nt
Filed under: uncultured fungus
Lineage: Eukaryota; Fungi
Description: bacterial SSU rRNA
Rfam family: Eukaryotic small subunit ribosomal RNA
Source: RNAcentral